RNA transcript from Trifolium pratense (red clover), 9488 nucleotides. RefSeq lists it as uncharacterized. The transcript is spliced from 2 exons. The record is from RefSeq and is a predicted model, not a curated record. NCBI's taxonomy places the organism in Eukaryota, Viridiplantae, Streptophyta, Magnoliopsida, Fabales, Fabaceae.
UCCAAUUUAGUGUAUUUUAUGUAAAUAUUUUUUGUGUUAAUUUAGAGUAAUUAUUUAUUAUUAUAUAAAUAACUCACUUGAUUUGCACUAUAUUAUACAAAAGAGAAGAAAAGCUAAAAAAAUGCAAAUCUACUUUUUGAAUCACUUAAAGAUAAACAUUAUAUAUUUUAUACUAUUUAUUAUUAUUAUUAUUAUUAUUAUUAUUAUUAUUAUUAUUAUGUGAAAAUGAAAUUAAAACAAUGUUACAGGUCCAAAAGAAAUCAAACACGAAGGAAUAUUAAAGGAAAGUAACAUGUGCCUUCUCAAGGGGUAAUUAGAGUCAAAAGUGGUGAUUAAAAGUGGAGUCUUAACAAUAACAAAAUUGAUUUGUCUUCCUUCUCAGUAAGAGAGGCGGCAGCAACACAAUGAAAAGGAUGGCAAGUUGAAAAAGGUCUGACAAAGCUUAAAAUCAAGUGGAGCUUAAAAUCAAGUGGAUUAGCGGUGAUACAAGACUUAAUAUUGAAGAUUUGCGAAGGCGGCUAAGCAAUUGGAAGGCAAGGAGUAUAAAUAGAGCUCUUUGGUAAACACUGGGGGUAUGCUUUCUUAUGUUCUGUAACACAGCUGGGAGAGGAAAAUUGGAAAAGCUUUGGAUUGAAGAUUAAAACUUUGGAGCAACAUAUUUUCUUCAUUCUAGGGUUAUUUCUUACUCUUAAUUUCAUGAAUUCAACUUUUAUGUUGGUGUUCUUUUUGAUUAUGGAUAGCUAAAUACUAUUCUAGGGUUUAUGGUGAAUCUUGCAAUUAAAAUUCCUUUUGCUAUGUCUUAGCUUAUAUGUUCUAGUUUCUAAUUUAAAUUUCGAUAUUUUGUUCAAUUAAUGUUAUCCUAUUGAUUUUAUCACAUGAUUAGGAAUGAUCAACCUAUGAAUGUUUACAAUCAAUUGAUUGAUCAGCGACCGUACUGCAGUUAAUUGGUGGACCUAUAGGAUAAAUGAGACUUAGAUUAUUGCAUGACCAAACCUUAAUCUUAGUCUUCCAAUCAUUCAACCUUUUUUUGCUUUAUGCUUUUCUUAAAUUUCAACUCUUUGCAUGACCAAACAAAGGUUAAUUUAGGAAAAAGAAUAUUAAUCACGAAUGACCAAACGGAUUAAUAGUUUUAGUAAAGGGAUUGGUAAUUGAAUUAAAAUAAAGGAAUUCAAAUGGAACUAGACAUAGGGAACCGAAUAUUGCAAGUGAAACCAUGACCCUAGACCUCUCUCUAUUGGUUUACAACUUCACGUUUUUAUUCUUGUUCUUAUUCUUACUAGUCAUUAUUUUCUCUUUAGUUUUCAUGACAAUUCAACUACUCGUUAGUUUAAAUAAUAAAUAAUCUUAACUAGUUUGGUGUUUGUUAAUUAAUCCCUGUGGAUACGAUAAUCUUUUAUACUACUUCUGCGCUAGAGUACACUUGCUCUAAGUGUGUUUUUAACGCAACAAGUUUUUGGCGCCGUUGCCGGGGAUUAAUAUAGCAAUAUUGGACGAAAGAGAUUUUUAUUACUUUAGACAUUUUCUUUUUCUUUGUUCUUAUUUUUUGUUUUUCUGUUGUUUUUAUUUUAGUGUUAUUAUUACUCGUGCAUGCUCACCCGCUCUAAGGAGCCUGUUUUGCUUUUUGAUUCAGAAAUUGAAAGAACUGCUCGUAGAAACAGAGCAAAGAGUAGAGCAAUGGCUGAAAUUCCUAGAAGAACGCUUCGGGACUACUUCACUCCCUCAACAAAUAUCACUACCAGCAUAGUCAAUCCACCUGUGCAAGCCAACAAUUUUGAGCUGAAACCGGGGUUAAUUCAAAUGAUCCAGAAUUCAACAUUUAGGGGCUCGCCAACUGAAGAUCCGAAUGCCCAUCUUAAGAACUUUAUAAGAGUGGCAGACUCGGUAAAAUGCAAUGGGGUCACACCUGAAGCCAUUAGAAUGCGACUAUUUCCAUGGUCAUUGGCUGACAAAGCAACUACAUGGCUAGAUUCUAUGCCUAAUGAUUCUAUCACUACAUGGGAGCAAUUGUCACAAAAGUUUUUGAACAAAUACUUUCCUCCGGGAAAGGCCGCCAAGAUUCGGGCUGAAAUCACAAACUUCUCUCAAUAUGAAGAAGAAUCAUUACAUGAAGCAUGGGAAAGACUUCAAGACAAGCUCCGAAGUUGCCCUCACCAUGGAUUCGAGAAGUGCCGAAUACUUGAAAUUUUGUACAAUGGAUUGUCAACUCAGAAUCGGGGAAUUAUCGAUUUAGCUUGUGGAGGUUCUAUGCUAAAUAAAGAGGCCGAUGAAGUGUAUAAUUUAGUUGCAGAGAUAACUGCUGACAGUGCUCAGUGGGCCACAAAUGAUAGACACUCAAAGAAGCCGGCUGGGAUGUACAAAGUCAAUGCUGAAACCAACUUUGACAUAAAGCUAGAUGCCAUUUCUAAACAAAUUGAGGCAUUGAAGAUGGAACAAGCGCAGCCAGCUCCCACAUUCCACUCAAUUGAUGACAACACAGGAAACCCAUGGGCCAGCCUAACUGAGGAAGCCAAUUUUCUCGGCCAUAAGAAAAGUGACCUGAGGCCCGGCAUGCAAGAUUCCUUGAUCAGAUACAUGGAGAAGGUCGGACAUCCAUGCAUGGGUGUAUUGGCCAACUAUAUGAAUAAAACUGAUGAAAGACUUCAAUCCAUUGAAGACUUGAUAAAAGCACAAGGUCAACGCGCUCCCGCAACCGAAGAGGCCAAUUAUAUUCACAAUUCCAACCGAAACCAAAAUGAUCCUUAUUCAAACACAUACAACCAAGGUUGGAGAAAUCACCCCAAUUUGUCAUGGGGUGGACAACAGAAAUGGCAAAAUUCUAAUUUCUAUAAGCCACCACAUGUUCAAAUGCAAGAGGAAAAGAAGCUGGAAGCCAAUGAUGUCUUGGUCAAGUUUAUGGAGCAGACAAAUGAAAAAUUUGGAACCAUGGAAGGUCAUAUCUCAAGUAUCCUUACCUUGUUAUCACAAAGGACUCAAGGAUCACUACCUACUCAAACCGAGCCUAAUCCAAAGGAGAAGAAUGAACAUUGCAAGGCUGUCACACUUAGAAGCGGCAAAGAGCUAAAUCAAGGAAACAACCAAGAUAGGUGCGUGCCUGAGAAAAAAGAAGAAGCUCUUACUGAAGAGAGCACUUUUGAGGAUCACAACAAAGCAAAAGAGAAAGAUGAGCCAGUAAAGGUAAGUGUUCCUUUUCCUCAAAGACUUAGAAAUAAACAUCAUGAUAAACAAUUUGCUAGGUUUCUUGAAAUAUUUAAGAAAUUGCAUAUUAACAUUCCUUUUGCUGAAGCUAUUGCUCAAAUGCCUAAAUAUGCUAAAUUUUUAAAAGAAAUUAUUUCCAACAAAAAGAAGCUAGAAGGCUUUGAGACAGUUGAACUUACUGAGGAAUGUUCUGCUAUAGUUUUGAAAAAAUUACCACCUAAGCUUAAGGAUCCCGGUAGUUUUAAUAUCCCUUGUACAAUUGGUAACUCUCAUUUUGAUAAGGCAUUGUGUGAUCUAGGGGCAAGUAUAAAUUUAAUGCCUUUGUCUGUGUUUAGAAAACUUGGCUUGCAGGAACCAACACCUACAAACAUCUCUUUACAAUUAGCUGACAGAUCCAUAGCUCACCCUCGCGGGAUAGUGGAAGAUGUUUUGGUAAAAGUAGAUAAAUUUAUUUUUCCUGCAGAUUUUGUAGUGUUAGACAUGGAAGAGGAUGAGGACGUUCCAAUAAUUUUGGGACGACCCUUUUUAGCAACCGGAGAUGCCAUAAUUGAAGUUAAAAAGGGGAAAUUGACCUUGAAAUUAGGAGAAGAAGAAGUUGUAUUUCAAGUUUUUAAUUCAUUGAAAAAUCCUUCUUCAUUUGCUUCAUGUAAUUUUAUUCAAACCAUUGAUAUUAAUGAUAUGAUUACUUCUGACGUGUUUGAUGACUUUAGGGAGCAAGAUCCUCUAGAAAAAGUACUUACCGUGCAGGGCCUUGGUAUGAUAGAGGGUGGUGAAGAAGAAGAGUUUUUAAAGUUUUUGCAGGCUCACCACCCUCAAAAGAAUUGGAGUAAUCAUAGAUUUGAGGACUUGGAAUUGGGAAAUACUCCAAAGCCUAAACCGUCAAUUGAAGAGGCACCUGAGCUUGAAUUAAAGCCUCUUCCCUCGAACAUGAAAUAUGUUUUUUUGAAUCCCCCUUCCUCUUUGCCUGUGAUAAUUUCUGCAGAUUUGACAGAUACGAUGGAGGAACAACUUUUAAGAGUAUUGAGGGAAAACAAAGAGGCCUUUGGAUGGUCAAUUCAUGAUAUAAAAGGCAUUAGUCCCUCAAUUUGCACUCAUCGGAUAUACAUGGAGGAUGAUUACCAACCUCGUGCACUACCACAACGCCGAUUGAAUCCUAACAUGAAAGAGGUUGUAAAAAAUGAAGUGAUUAAGCUUCUUGAUGCAGGUAUUAUCUAUCCUAUUUCAGAUAGUAAAUGGGUAAGUCCUGUACAAUGUGUUCCUAAAAAGGGAGGUACUACUGUAAUGGAAAAUGAUAAAAAUCAAUUGAUUGCAGUUAGAAAAACUAUUGGGUGGCGUAUGUGUAUUGACUUUAGAAAAUUAAACGAUGCCACCCGAAAAGAUCAUUUCCCCCUUCCUUUUAUUGAUCAAAUGCUUGAGAGAGUGGCAGGGCAUGAAUAUUAUUGUUGUUUGGAUGGUUAUUCCGGUUAUUUGCAAAUACCAGUGGCUUUACAAGAUCAAGAAAAAACCACUUUUACUUGCCCAUAUGGUACUUUUGCAUAUAAAAGAAUGCCAUUCGGUUUAUGUAAUGCCCCUGCCACUUUCCAAAGAUGCAUGAUGGCUAUUUUCUCUGAUUUAAUUGAAAAAUGCAUUGAGAUAUUUAUGGAUGAUUUUACUGUAUUUGGAUCCUCUUAUGAAAAUUGUUUGCAUAACUUGAAUCUAGUGUUGCAGAAAUGCAGGGAGACUAAUUUAGUACUUAAUUGGGAGAAGUGUCAGUUUAUGGUGCAAGAAUGCAUUAUUUUGGGACACAAAGUGUCCAAUAAAGGCAUCGAGGUGGAUCCUGCAAAGGUUGAGGUAAUUUCUAAAUUACCACCUCCGAGUUCUGUUAAGGGGGUGCGUAGCUUUUUAGGCCAUGUUGGCUUUUAUAGGAGGUUUGUCAAAGAUUUCUCAAAAAUUUCAAAACCCAUGACUAAUCUCUUACUUAAAGAGGCUACUUUUAAUUUUUCUGACAGUUGUUUGAAAGCUUUUAAUUGUUUAAAAGAAAAAUUAAUUAGUGCCCCUAUUGUUGUUGCCCCUGAUUGGUCACUCCCCUUUGAGAUCAUGUGUGAUGCAAGUGAUAGCGCUGUAGGGGCAGUUUUGGGGCAAAGAAAGAAUAAGGUAUUUUACACUAUUUACUAUGCUAGUCGCACUCUUGAUGAUGCUCAAAGAAAUUACACUACCACAGAAAAAGAGUUACUAGCGGUGGUUUUUGCAUUUGAUAAAUUUCGUCAUUACCUCAUUCUUUCUAAAGUAAUUGUUUACACUGACCAUGCUGCUAUUAGAUAUUUGCUUGGUAAACAGGAUGCAAAGCCUAGGCUGAUUCGGUGGAUUUUGUUGUUACAAGAAUUUGAUUUAGAAAUUAGAGAUAAGAAAGGCUCGGAGAACUUUGUAGCUGACCACCUCUCACGGCUUGACCAUACCGUGAUGCAACCUUCAAAUGACGGGGAGAUCAAGGAGAUGUUCCCUGAUGAGAGGCUUUUAGCUAUUUCAAACUAUCCAUGGUUUGCAGAUAUUGUUAACUACUUGGUCGGUAAGGCAGUCCCGCCCCACUUUUCAUAUCAGCAAAAGAAUAAAUUAAUUUCUGAUGCUAGGCAGUACUUAUGGGAUGAUCCUUACCUAUUUAAAGUAUGUGGAGACCAGGUAAUUAGGCGUUGUGUGCCUAUGGAAGAGGUAACUUCUAUCCUUGAGCAUUGUCAUUCUAAAGAGGCAGGUGGCCAUUUUGGGCCAAAUAGGACUGCAUAUAAAGUUUUGCAGUCUGGUUUUUAUUGGCCUACUAUUUUUAAAGAUGCUCAUGAGUUUGUUAAAUCAUGUGAUAACUGCCAGAGAAGUGGUAAUAUUUCUAAGCGUCAUGAGAUGCCAUUGAAUAAUAUUUUGAUUUGUGAACUUUUUGAUGUUUGGGGUAUUGAUUUUAUGGGUCCCUUUCCUAAAUCAUUUUCAAAUCAAUAUAUUCUUGUUGCUGUAGAUUAUGUGUCUAAGUGGGUGGAAGCUUCAGCCUUACCCACUAAUGAUGCUCGGGUUGUAGUGAAAUUUUUAAAGAAAAAUAUUUUUACUCGUUUUGGCACUCCCCGAGCUAUUAUUAGUGACGGUGGCACUCAUUUUUGCAAUAAACAAUUUGAAUCACUCUUAAACAAAUAUGGUGUCACCCAUAAGGUAUCAACUCCAUACCAUCCACAAACUAGUGGACAAGUUGAAAUUUCAAAUAGAGAAUUGAAAAGAAUUUUAGAGAAGACUGUUAAUGCAUCUAGAAAAGAUUGGUCUUUAAAAUUGGAUGAUGCAUUAUGGGCAUAUAGGACUGCAUUUAAAACUCCUAUUGGAAUGUCUCCUUACCGCCUUGUUUUUGGUAAAUCAUGUCAUUUGCCUGUUGAAUUAGAGCAUAAAGCACUUUGGGCUUUAAAAUUUCUUAACUUUGAUGCUCAGCUUACAGGUGAAAACAGGUUGCUGCAGUUGGAUGAAUUGGAUGAACUCCGUCUCGGAGCAUAUGAAAAUGCAAAGUUAUACAAAGAGCGCACUAAAAAGUGGCACGACAAGCGUAUUCAGUUGCGUGAGUUUCAAAUUGGUGACAAAGUAUUAAUCUAUAACUCACGGCUGCGUCUUUUUCCUGGAAAGUUGCGCUCAAGAUGGUUUGGACCUUACACUGUCACUCAAGUUUUUCCACAUGGAGCACUUGAGGUCUCUAGAGAAGAUGGAACCACUUUCAAAGUCAACGGACAGCGUGCAAAGCAUUACGAGGAAGGGUUGCUCCAAGUGAGCUAUGCCACUCUCCUCAGUGAUUGAAAGCUUUUUUCAGGGAAGUUUUUUUGAUACCCUCUCACACUUAUUUAUGUUAGUUUGUCCAUUUACAUACUUUUUUUUUUUUUCUUGCAUUGAGGACCAUGCUUAUUGCUAGUGUGGGGGAGGUAUUAUUAGGUACUAUAUUUAGGUAUUAUUAGGUACUAUAUUUUGACAGUGCCUUUUAUUAGUUUUGUUGAUGGCAUUUUUCUGGCUUGUUUUGAUUAAAAUUAUGUUUAAAAAUAGAGAUCAUGCCUUUGAGGGACCCUAAAAAAAAAAAAAAAUUAUUUGACAGACUGGUUCAAUGUUAUAUUGGGGUUGUCUUUUGAAAGCUAAUAAUUAGCAUAAUGUGCUAUGUGGACUAUCUUUUUGUGAACCAAACUUCUAUAUGUGAGAUUUGAGCCUUUAUAAGGGGAUUACUUGUUAAAGUAUAAAUUCUAACCCCUUCUUUUUGUGUGAGUGUGAGUGUGUUUCCCAUUUUGUCACAUUCUAGAACUUGUCUUGUGACCGUGCUAAAGCGAAAAUUGAUCUGCAUCAUGUGAAAAAUGUUGGGGCAUUUGUAGGUAUUUUUUUCUGGCCUUUAAUUUUAUUGUUUUGAAAUCAUCCUUAGUUGCCCACUUUGAGCCUAUUUAUUAUGCAUUUCCUUGGUACCUUGAUAUGAUUAAAUAUUUUUCUUUUUUUUUUGGUAACCACUUGGAAUUGAAAAUGGAGCAAACUAUUGAAAAUAAAAGAGAAUUGUCAUAUAUUUGAGAUGUUCAUGUAUUUUGUUGAGCUGAAAAUAAAAAUUCCAAAUUUGAGCUGCUCAUGUGUACUCUAUGUAUAACUAGAAAAAAAAUGGCUCUGGUGUUUGUAAUGAAAAAAAAAAAAAAAAAAAAAAAAAAAAAGAGAAAAAAGGGAUGAUGAUAGUAAAAGAAGAAAAGAAGUAGCUUGUGUGGAUUAUUGUGAAUACUUCCUUCUAAAGAAAGAAAGAAAAAAAAAAAAUUGCAAAAUGAGAAAUUAAGAAAAAAAGUUUUAGGACCACACUCUGUCUGAAAGAAAAAAUGAAAGAAGUAAUAGUUUUGGAGUUGAGCAAAAUUGUGAAAAUAUAUAGGAGCUCCAUUUUUGUUUCAAAGGUUACUAUUUGUUUCUUGUUUUCUUACCCCUUUGAUUAUCCAUUUCUUCUUAUAUCCCACCUUACACAACUUAACCAUGGCCCCGUUACAACCCGUAAGACCUCAACUUUUGCAUGCAUGUAGACUAUUUAGUGGAGAUAUCGGUCAAAUUACAAGCUUAUGGUAAUGUGCAUUUUGUGGAAACUUGAGUGCUUAUUUGCCUAGUCCCUAAACACUUUAGAGAGAUUGUGAGAAUGUCCUUGUUCAUUUAAAGAUAGUUUUCAUGGACAUUAAAAGUCUCUAAUUGGGCAAAUUUUUGACAUCUCAUAUAUCAUAUAUUGUCUGUCAUUGUUGAUUAUAAUUUUUGGUCUCUCAUUUGGCUAUCUCUGUCUUCCUUUUUGAAAAUGUAGUAAGCCAGGAAAUUUGCUUGAGGACAAGCAAAGGUUAAGUGUGGGGGAGUUGAUAAACUCCAAUUUAGUGUAUUUUAUGUAAAUAUUUUUUGUGUUAAUUUAGAGUAAUUAUUUAUUAUUAUAUAAAUAACUCACUUGAUUUGCACUAUAUUAUACAAAAGAGAAGAAAAGCUAAAAAAAUGCAAAUCUACUUUUUGAAUCACUUAAAGAUAAACAUUAUAUAUUUUAUACUAUUUAUUAUUAUUAUUAUUAUUAUUAUUAUUAUUAUUAUUAUUAUGUGAAAAUGAAAUUAAAACAAUGUUACAGGUCCAAAAGAAAUCAAACACGAAGGAAUAUUAAAGGAAAGUAACAUGUGCCUUCUCAAGGGUAAGAGAGGCGGCAGCAACACAAUGAAAAGGAUGGCAAGUUGAAAAAGGUCUGACAAAGCUUAAAAUCAAGUGGAGCUUAAAAUCAAGUGGAUUAGCGGUGAUACAAGACUUAAUAUUGAAGAUUUGCGAAGGCGGCUAAGCAAUUGGAAGGCAAGGAGUAUAAAUAGAGCUCUUUGGUAAACACUGGGGGUAUGCUUUCUUAUGUUCUGUAACACAGCUGGGAGAGGAAAAUUGGAAAAGCUUUGGAUUGAAGAUUAAAACUUUGGAGCAACAUAUUUUCUUCAUUCUAGGGUUAUUUCUUACUCUUAAUUUCAUGAAUUCAACUUUUAUGUUGGUGUUCUUUUUGAUUAUGGAUAGCUAAAUACUAUUCUAGGGUUUAUGGUGAAUCUUGCAAUUAAAAUUCCUUUUGCUAUGUCUUAGCUUAUAUGUUCUAGUUUCUAAUUUAAAUUUCGAUAUUUUGUUCAAUUAAUGUUAUCCUAUUGAUUUUAUCACAUGAUUAGGAAUGAUCAACCUAUGAAUGUUUACAAUCAAUUGAUUGAUCAGCGACCGUACUGCAGUUAAUUGGUGGACCUAUAGGAUAAAUGAGACUUAGAUUAUUGCAUGACCAAACCUUAAUCUUAGUCUUCCAAUCAUUCAACCUU